AGAGUUUGAUCCUGGCUCAGGAUGAACGCUAGCGGGAGGCUUAACACAUGCAAGUCGAGGGGCAUCACGAGGUAGCAAUACUUUGGUGGCGACCGGCAGACGGGUGGGUAACGCGUAUGCAACCUACCCUGUACAGGGGGAUAACCCGGAGAAAUUCGGACUAAUAUCCCAUAAUAUUAUUUGGAGGCAUCUUCGGAUAAUUAAAGUUCCGGCGGUACGGGAUGGGCAUGCGUAACAUUAGCUAGUUGGUAAGGUAACGGCUUACCAAGGCUUUGAUGUUUAGGGGUCCUGAGAGGGUGGUCCCCCACACUGGUACUGAGACACGGACCAGACUCCUACGGGAGGCAGCAGUGAGGAAUAUUGGUCAAUGGGCGAGAGCCUGAACCAGCCAUCCCGCGUGCAGGAUGACGGCCCUAUGGGUUGUAAACUGCUUUUCUGCGCCAAGAAACCUGUCAACGUGUUGACAGCUGACGGUAGCGCAGGAAUAAGCCCCGGCUAACUCCGUGCCAGCAGCCGCGGUAAUACGGAGGAUGCAAGCGUUAUCCGGAUUCAUUGGGUUUAAAGGGUGCGCAGGUGGGAAAAUAAGUCAGUGGUGAAAUACUGCCGCUUAACGGUAGAAUUGCCAUUGAUACUGUUUUUCUUGAGUAUGGUUGAGGUAGGUGGAAUGUGUUGUGUAGCGGUGAAAUGCAUAGAUAUGACACAGAACGCCGAUUGCGAAGGCAGCUUACUAAGCCAUUACUGACGCUGAGGCACGAAAGCGUGGGGAUCGAACAGGAUUAGAUACCCUGGUAGUCCACGCCGUAAACGAUGAUCACUCGCUGUUUGCGAUAUACAGCAAGCGGCUGAGCGAAAGCAUUAAGUGAUCCACCUGGGGAGUACGAUCGCAAGGUUGAAACUCAAAGGAAUUGACGGGGGCCCGCACAAGCGGAGGAACAUGUGGUUUAAUUCGAUGAUACGCGAGGAACCUUACCUGGGCUUAAAUGUAGGCUGCAUUCGGCUGAAAGGCUGAUUCCCUUCGGGGCUGCUUACAAGGUGCUGCAUGGUUGUCGUCAGCUCGUGCAAUUGUGGUGUCGGGUUAAGUCCCAUAACGAGCGCAACCCUUAUCGUUAGUUGCCAGCGGGUUAAGCCGGGGACUCUAGCGAGACUGCCACCGUAAGGUGAGAGGAAGGUGGGGAUGACGUCAAAUCAGCACGGCCCUUAUGUCCAGGGCUACACACGUGUUACAAUGGCCGAUACAAAGGGCAGCUACUCCGCGAGGAGAUGCUAAUCUCUAAAGUCGGUCCCAGUUCGGAUUGGAGUCUGCAACCCGACUCCAUGAAGUUGGAAUCGCUAGUAAUCGCAGGUCAGCAUACUGCGGUGAAUACGUUCCCGGGUCUUGUACACACCGCCCGUCACACCAUGGGAGCGGGUUCUGCCAGAAGUAGUUAGCCUAACCGCAAGGAGGGCGAUUACCACGGCAGGGUUCGUGACUGGGGUGAAGUCGUAACAAGGUAACC
This 1496-nucleotide ribosomal RNA is filed under the name uncultured bacterium. RNAcentral's name for it is "bacterial SSU rRNA". It matches the Rfam family "Bacterial small subunit ribosomal RNA". The record is from RNAcentral.